CUCAUCUUGGUCAGAAAUGGAGCGACGGUUUUGCCCUCACUACUUGCCUCAACUACGAUUUUGCCAUUGUUUUACGAUAAGACGCUGGAGGCUUCGAGAGACAGUGAUAGAGAGAGAGAGAGAGAGAGAGAGAGAGAGACGGUGAUCGAGAUAGAAACAAUCGAGGGUUGGGUUUGUUUUGGAAGAUGUUCCGUUGCACCAAGACUUGGAACCCACCGCUUCCUCUUCUCUUAGUUUGAGAAGAGAAGAGGACUUGGCUACAUUGGUAACCAAACCUCAAUUUGGAGACACUGCUUACCAAGAAAGGAGACGUGAUGAUUUAGGUAAGACAAAUUCUCAUGAAACUUGCAGUUUAUAAUGCAGAAGCAGGGGAGGAUUCUGAUAUUAUACUUUCUGUUUUGAUUCUGUUAAUAAAACGUGUGGGAUGGCUUUUGAUUGGUGUAUUGAUCACAACUUUGUUCAGAAUGUUGAUAUAGACGAAUUAUGGAAGAUAUUUGGCCCAUAUUUUGUCAAGGAAUCUAUAGCCAAGUUUUGUGACCAUGUGGAAGCAAGAUCGACAAUGUCAAUUGUGAGGGUCACAAAAAUGAUAUGUACAUAUUGUAAACAUGUAAAAGACAGCCAUACUCUAAGAAUAUAUUUCUUUUGCAUUCUUUUACUUGAGAUUUAUUUUUUUAUUUAAGGGAUCGUACAUAUUUGAGAUAUUUUAUUUAAUAUCAUCUUAUUAUCUGAACUAAUCUAAUAAAUUAUAAAUAUCAAAGAAAUCAGCUAAAUCGGUAGCAAACCACUUAAAAAUAAAAAUAAAGUAACGAGAGUUUAGCUAGACUUAAAUUCAAUUUGAAUUUGGAUGGGGUAUUAUUUAGCUAGACUUCAAAGUUCAAACUUUCAAAGUCUCUUUCUAUAUCAUUUGGAUAUUAUAGCUGGGUUGGCACUGUAUAUUGUUUAUGAAUCAAUAGUAUGUCACUGUUCAUCUUGGUCAGAAAUGGAGCGACUGUUUUGCCCUUACUACUUGCCUCAACUACGAUUUUGCCAUUGUCUUACGAUAAGAGAGAGACAGUGAUAGAGAGAGAGAGAGAGAGAGACGGUGAUCGAGGUAGACACACAGCAAUCGAGGGUUGGGUUUGUUUUGGAAGAUGUUCCGUUUCACCUGUAUAGGUUAGUUUGCACCGAGACUUGGAACCCACCGCUUCCUCUUCUCUUAGUUUGCAAAAUAGUGCAGAUGACAACCAUUUCUUUUAACUGAAGUAGGACUUGGCUACAUUGGUAACCAAACCUCAAUUUGGAGACACUGCUUACCAAGAAAGAUGGGAUCUGACAAAUGGAACCCAUUGUCCUUACCAAAUUCACGGGAAUAUCAAAAUACCAGCAAAAACAAUAUUGAUCUUAGUCAGCAACUUAUCUAAACUCAAAAAAUUUAAGUUGACGAGGUUCUAUACAAUAUUGCUGUGUUGCCUUAAGCCAAAAUACAGUGUCAAAUGUGAUGCGUUCUUCUUUCAUUUCUCAAAAUACUCACAAUGUCAAAUGUGAUCGAUUCUUCUCUAAUGUGCUUCAAUAUUGCUGUGUUGCACAGUGGUCUUAUUGACAUAAUUUUUUUUUUCCACAGAUUGGGGUUAAACAUGAAGUCUGUUUAUCUUUUAAUGUAACAUUAAAUCUUUAUUUAUUGGGUUUAACCUAGCUGUGAAAAUAAAAUUUGGCUUUUUUCCUACUCCUGAACUUGUAAUAUAUAAGACCUCUGCUUAAUUAAGAUGGCAAAAAUGAAUGCAGCAGAGGAUUUUAAUUGAGGAAGCUGAGAAUAAGUAGGACGACGACAUGUGGACAUCAGUGAACAACCAAAGAAAUAAGCUUUUCCAGAGAUGGAUGUCCAAGGAUGCUAUUGAUUUAUUUUGAUUGAGGUGAGAGGGAAUCCAGAAGACAAUUAUCUCAGUUCUUGAUAGUGCUCAUGGCCUCUGUAAGUGUGGUUCCUUCAUCUGGAUUAGGAGACGGCAGUGGAAAUACGGUUGCCCAGUGAGAUGAAUAACAUGAAAAUUAGGGAUGACGUACAAGAUAAUGUAGGCAUUGAGGAGUUGACCUGGCUUAUAUGCUCAUUGGUAUUGAAAAGAGACAUCUACCUGAAGCAUGGCCGGAAGCAAAAUUGAGCUGUGAAAAUCUUAAUCAAAGAUUAUGUAGUGAACCUUGAACGGCAGGAGACGUGAUGAUUUAGGUAAGACAAAUUCUCAUGAAACUUGCAGUUUAUAAUGCAGAAGCAGGGGAGGAUUCUGAUAUUAUACUUUCUGUUUUGAUUCUGUUAAUAAAACGUGUGGGAUGGCUUUUGAUUGGUGUAUUGAUCACAACUGUGUUCAGAAUGUUGAUGAGGAAAUACACACGUAACUGUUGAUGGCGAA
Molecule: long non-coding RNA, 2378 nt
Organism: Rosa rugosa (rugosa rose)
Lineage: Eukaryota; Viridiplantae; Streptophyta; Magnoliopsida; Rosales; Rosaceae
Exons: 5
Source: RefSeq, a predicted model, not a curated record